Molecule: long non-coding RNA, 2102 nt
Organism: Peromyscus californicus insignis
Lineage: Eukaryota; Metazoa; Chordata; Mammalia; Rodentia; Cricetidae
Exons: 4
Source: RefSeq, a predicted model, not a curated record
CAGAGCUGGGGCCUGAGCAAGGAAAUUGGACGCGAGGGAUUUGAAGCCAGUUCGCGCAGACUCACAGCUCCCCUUCAAGGUACCCAGGAGCUUUAAUCGGGAUGCUGGUUUUCUCCAGAGCCUGUGGUCACUUCUGCUGUUUGAUGCCAGAUGGAACCUUAAGUACAGGUGUCUAGCUGGUUAGCGUCUCAUUCUCAGGAUGUUGUAUGUACGGGGAAGACUUCAAAGCCCAGACCUAACAUUGCGCCCUGAAAUCUUUGUGUUUUGAAGAGGAGGUGGAACAUGGACUGCUUGGAAGCAGACCUGGAGAAACUGGACUGAACUGCAGGAGGAAGUGUGUCACUGGGGGUGGGCCUUGAGGUUCCAGAUGCUCUAGCCAGGCCCAGUGUCUCUCUUCCUGCUUCCUGACAAUCCAGAUGUAGAACUCUCAGCUCCUUCUCCAGCACCAUGUCUGCCUGCGUGCUGCCUUGCUUCCUGCCAUGAAGAUAAUGGACUAAACCUCCGAAAUGGUAAGCCAGCCCCAUUUAAAUGUUUUCCUUUAUUAGAGUUGCCACAGUCAUGCUGUCUUGUCACAGCAACAGAAACCCUAAAACACCACUGACCUAGUGCCAAGUGAGGCUACCUCAGAGAACUUUGGGGUUACAGGGUCACAAGUGGGACUAACCUCCAUCUCAUAUUUUGUUUUCACUUCUCUUUGGCAUAAAGAGAUAAAGACAUAAAGGUUGAAUCAUCAUAGGCCCAAACAAAAACACCAACACAAGGCAUAGAGAGGUUAAGAGCCUUGCCUUAGGUCACGGCGCUAAGAGAAUGCUGAAGCCAGACCUCAACCCAAGCCUGUCUCCCCGUCACACACUUAACCAUGGAAUGCUGAGAACUUAUAUAUAUAUAUCUCAGAUGUCAUCCUACUGGCUUUAGAAGGUGUUAGAACGGGACUCGGACCACGUGCAGGUGAAGUCCCAAGACUCCAAGGAGGCUCUUUCUUUGUGCUCUGAUAAAGGUGUGGAAUGUGUUAAGGCAGUCAAGAAUGGGAGUAAAGCUAUGAACCAUAGCUGCAAAGGUAGUUUGCAUUUACUCUGGGCAAAGCAUUUAUUGGCUAUUCUGGGCACACAGAGAUCAAAUUGCAUACAUUUGCCAACCCUUUCCCUGACCAUUUCCAAAAGGAGCAUGUGGCUAAUGGUGGACAUCAUGUGGUGCAAUCAGCUGAGAAUAGUUAACCAGUGAGAGUUUAUCUGGUUCUUCAUUGAGGGCUGAUUCCUAAGACCUGAGGUGGCUUUAUAUAUAUAUAUAUAUAUAUAUAUAUAUAUAUAUAUAUAUAUAUAUAUAGUUUUGGUGCUUAUUCUGGAUCUUGCUCUGUAGACCAGGCUGGUCUCAAACUCACAGAGAUUCACCUGCUUCUGCCUCCUGAGUGCUGAGAUUAAAGGCAUGCACCCAGCUUGUUUUUUUGUUUUUUAAUAAUUGAUCGUGUUUACAAAAAGAGGGGGAUUAAAAAGACACACACACACACACACACACCAGUGUUACAAAACCUUGUAUUAAUCAUUUCCCUUCACUCUCAAUAUAACCAUAUGAAAUAUAGCCAUGAUUCUUAAUUCUGUAGGAGGAAAUGAAUAAUAAAUACAUUGUAGCAAGUUUAGACCACAAGGGUGUUGUCACUGGUAACAACAUUUGAAAACUGUACACUUGCAAAGAACAGCAUCUUCAAACAUUAGUAUAUCUGUAUAUCAGUAAAGCUUUUACAUGUAACAAACAUGCUCUUUCCAUAUAUGACAAAUUUAAAAAAUAUGCAUUGCUUGGCAACAUGAACUAGGCAAAAAUAUUUCUUUGUUCACUAACUUUAUACAGGAGAACAGGACGAAAGGCAUGCAUGUACAAUACAGAUGCCUGUACAGGGCAUGCAACGAAGGAAGCCUUUUGAAGGUCAGCUUACGUUAGGCCUAAAUACAUGAGGGUAUAUAUAUUCAUAAGGGAGGAAGUCUUCUGUUGGCCAUUACUAACAUUCCUGCUUUCUCCUUGCUCCUCCCAGAGGGAUACACAUUCACCUUUAAGUCAAGAUAAAGGAAUUAAAAAAAAAAAAAGUCAUUUUGCAAACAUCUCUGAUGAGU